UACGGAGGGUGCGAGCGUUGUCCGGAAUCACUGGGCGUAAAGGGCGCGUAGGCGGCGCGGAUAGUCGGCGGUGAAAGCCCGGAGCUCAACUCCGGGUCGGCCGUCGAUACUUCCGGGCUUGGAGCACUGUAGAGGCAGAUGGAAUUCCGGGUGUAGCGGUGGAAUGCGUAGAGAUCCGGGAAGAACACCGGUGGCGAAGGCGGU
Molecule: ribosomal RNA, 204 nt
Filed under: uncultured bacterium
Lineage: Bacteria
Description: partial 16S ribosomal RNA
Rfam family: Bacterial small subunit ribosomal RNA
Source: RNAcentral